Molecule: RNase P RNA, 356 nt
Filed under: Bifidobacterium actinocoloniiforme DSM 22766
Lineage: Bacteria; Bacillati; Actinomycetota; Actinomycetes; Bifidobacteriales; Bifidobacteriaceae
Description: Bacterial RNase P class A
Rfam family: Bacterial RNase P class A
About the family: Ribonuclease P (RNase P) is a ubiquitous endoribonuclease, found in archaea, bacteria and eukarya as well as chloroplasts and mitochondria. Its best characterised activity is the generation of mature 5'-ends of tRNAs by cleaving the 5'-leader elements of precursor-tRNAs. Cellular RNase Ps are ribonucleoproteins.
Source: Rfam by way of RNAcentral
UGAGGUCUCUCGAUGGCCGCGGCGGCUUCCUGGCCGCUGAGGAACUUCCGGGCUCCACAGAGCACGAUGGCGGAUAACGUCCGCCCAGGGUGACCUGAGAGAGAGCGCAACAGAGAGCAGACCGCCCACCGCAAGGCGGGUAAGGGUGAAAGGGCGGUGUAAGAGACCACCGGGCUCCUGGUAACAGGAGUCGCAUGGCAAGCCUCAUCGGGAGCAAGGCCAAGCAGAAGGCAUCAAGGGUUGCUCGCCCCGCCUUCGGGUAGGCCGCUGGAGCCUGGCGGCGACGUCAGGUCGAGAUGGAUGGCCAUCCGUCCCUUCGGGGACGACAGAACCCGGGGUAUGAGGGGCCUCACGCU